Molecule: ribosomal RNA, 465 nt
Filed under: uncultured bacterium
Lineage: Bacteria
Description: partial 16S ribosomal RNA
Rfam family: Bacterial small subunit ribosomal RNA
Source: RNAcentral
GACGAACGCUGGCGGCGUGCUUAACACAUGCAAGUCGAACGGAAAGGCCCUGCUUGCAGGGUACUCGAGUGGCGAACGGGUGAGUAACACGUGGGUGAUCUGCCCUGCACUUCGGGAUAAGCCUGGGAAACUGGGUCUAAUACCGGAUAGGAGCCAUUUUUAGUGUGAUGGUUGGAAAGUUUUUUCGGUGUAGGAUGAGCUCGCGGCCUAUCAGCUUGUUGGUGGGGUAAUGGCCUACCAAGGCGGCGACGGGUAGCCGGCCUGAGAGGGUGGACGGCCACAUUGGGACUGAGAUACGGCCCAGACUCCUACGGGAGGCAGCAGUGGGGAAUAUUGCGCAAUGGGCGCAAGCCUGAUGCAGCGACGCCGCGUGGGGGAUGACGGCCUUCGGGUUGUAAACUCCUUUCGCUAGGGACGAAGCUUUUUGUGACGGUACCUAGAGAAGAAGCACCGGCUAACUACGUG